AAACUGGUUGAUCCUGCCAUUAGUCAUAUGCUUGUCUCAGAGAUUAAGCCAUGCAUGUCUAAGUACAUACCUUAAAACGGUGAANNNNNNNNNNUACACAGUCAAUGGGUGCAUCACUGUGUAAAUAAACUGGUUGAUCCUGCCAGUAGUCAUAUGCUUGUCUCAGAGAUUAAGCCAUGCAUGUCCUAGUACAUAUACUGCAUGUAUAACUGUAGUAAUCCUAGAUCUAAUACACACAAUUAUGCCCUGACCCGCAAGUGAACGGGUGCAUUCAUUAGAACAGAACCAACCGAGGGCAGUUUCGGCUGUCUAUCUUGAAUUCUGUAAUGACCCCGGAUAACUUUAAUGAUUACAGUCGGCCUUGUAUCGGCGAUGGAUAUUUCAAAUGCAUGCCCUAUCAAUUUGUUUCCCAGGUGAUCUGCCUACCAUGAUAAUAACGGAUAACGGGGAAUCAGAGUUCAAAACCGGAGAGGGAGGCUGAGAAAUGGCUACCACAACCAAGGACGGCAGCAGGCGCGAAAAUUCACUGUCAAUAAUAAAUGAUCGAAUAAAUGCAUAAACGACACUUCGAAAAGGGAUCAUGAGCGUAUAUCAACCGGAGU
This 602-nucleotide non-coding RNA is filed under the name Trichobilharzia regenti. Its description in RNAcentral is "Eukaryotic small subunit ribosomal RNA". It matches the Rfam family "Eukaryotic small subunit ribosomal RNA", at positions 1 to 554 of the family's 1831-position model. The record is from Rfam by way of RNAcentral. Lineage: Eukaryota; Metazoa; Platyhelminthes; Trematoda; Strigeidida; Schistosomatidae.